Molecule: ribosomal RNA, 406 nt
Filed under: Bacillota bacterium
Lineage: Bacteria; Bacillati; Bacillota
Description: Firmicutes bacterium partial 16S ribosomal RNA
Rfam family: Bacterial small subunit ribosomal RNA
Source: RNAcentral
CAAGGAAUCUUCCGCAAUGGGCGAAAGCCUGACGGAGCAACGCCGCGUGUGGGAUGACGCCUUUCGGGGUGUAAACCACUUUUCUCAGGGAAGAAGCACUGACGGUACCUGAGGAAUAAGGACCGGCUAACUACGUGCCAGCAGCCGCGGUAAUACGUAGGGUCCGAGCGUUGUCCGGAGUUACUGGGCGUAAAGCGCGCGCAGGCGGCGGUGUAAGCAUGGCGUGAAAGCCCCAGGCUUAACCUGGGAGGGUCGUCGUGGACUGCACCGCUUGAGGGCGGUAGGGGCUGGUGGAAUGCCUGGUGUAGUGGUGAAAUGCGUAGAGAUCAGGCGGAACACCCGUGGCGAAGGCGGCCAGCUGGGCCGUCCCUGACGCUGAGGCGCGAAGGCAUGGGGAGCGAACGGG